GACGAACCGUGCGAACGUUGUUCGGAAUCACUGGGCUUAAAGGGCGCGUAGGCGGGCUGCUAAGUCAGGGGUGAAAGCCCACGGCUCAACCGUGGAAGUGCCUUUGAUACUGGCGGUCUGGAGGGAGGUAGGGGCGUGCGGAACUUCCGGUGGAGCGGUGAAAUGCGUAGAUAUCGGAAGGAACACCGGUGGCGAAAGCGGCGCGCUGGACCUCUUCUGACGCUGAGGCGCGAAAGCCAGGGGAGCAAACGGG
RNAcentral lists this ribosomal RNA (253 nucleotides) under uncultured bacterium. RNAcentral's name for it is "partial 16S ribosomal RNA". It matches the Rfam family "Bacterial small subunit ribosomal RNA", at positions 524 to 776 of the family's 1533-position model. The record is from RNAcentral.